CUUGAAAGAGAUGUCAGAACAGAGUGUGUGAAUGCUGUGGGGGUCUGCGGAGAGGUUUAGCUCCAGCAGCUCUUAGAAGACAGAUUGCUUCCAGAAAGCCAAACAAAAGAAGGCUGAGUUGGAGAAGCUUUAGUGUAGCCAGGGGCCGUGGAAAUGGGGAAGGUGGUUUGCGGACAGGAACUGAAGAAAAACUGGAAGCAAUUCCUUUGUUAAAGAUGAAAUGUAUUCUUUGCGACUGGCUGGUUAGCUGAGCUGGUUAGAGUGCCGUGUUGAUAGCACCGGCCAGAUGCCCGCCCCUCCCCCGCUCCCCCACCAAAUGGAAAUUGAGUCUGGAGUAGUUGAUAUUUCUUUAAACAUUUUAAAGUAGAUCAUCAAGGAACAGCUGCCUUGCCACUUCUCUUCAGUGUGGAUUGGGUGAAACUGCACACAUCUCUCAAUAUUCCAGCUCUUUUUUUCUGUUCACCCUGCUCAUGCUGAUGCUAACAGAAAAUUUUUAUUUUAUGAGUUUUCUUUGGAAACUAUGAAGGUCAUUGAUGUUUUGGAAACGGUAAGUUGGUUUUUUUUUUUUUUUU
Galeopterus variegatus (Sunda flying lemur) is the source of this 572-nucleotide long non-coding RNA. RefSeq lists it as uncharacterized. The transcript has 2 exons. NCBI's taxonomy places the organism in Eukaryota, Metazoa, Chordata, Mammalia, Dermoptera, Cynocephalidae. The record is from RefSeq and is a predicted model, not a curated record.